GGGGCUAUAGCUCAGAUGGGAGAGCGCCUGAUUUGCAUUCAGGAGGUCCGCGGUUCGAUCCCGCGUAGCUCCA
Transfer RNA from Congregibacter litoralis KT71, 73 nucleotides. It matches the Rfam family "tRNA". From Rfam's summary of the family: Transfer RNA (tRNA) molecules are approximately 80 nucleotides in length. Their secondary structure includes four short double-helical elements and three loops (D, anti-codon, and T loops). Lineage: Bacteria; Pseudomonadati; Pseudomonadota; Gammaproteobacteria; Cellvibrionales; Halieaceae. The record is from Rfam.